GACAGAGGUCCCAAGCGUUAGGCGGAAUCACUGGGCUUAAAGCGUGUGUAGGCGGACUUCUAAGUACCUUGUGAAAUCCCACGGCUCAACCGUGGAACUGCUUGGUAUACUGGUUGUCUUGGGCCAUCUAGGGGCUAGCGGAACAAACGGUGGAGCGGUGAAAUGCGUAGAUAUCGUUUGGAACGCCAAUGGUGAAAACAGCUAGCUGGGGAUGUGCUGACGCUGAGACACGAAAGCCAGGGGAGCGAACGGG
This 253-nucleotide ribosomal RNA is filed under the name uncultured bacterium. RNAcentral describes it as "partial 16S ribosomal RNA". It matches the Rfam family "Bacterial small subunit ribosomal RNA", at positions 524 to 776 of the family's 1533-position model. The record is from RNAcentral.